AGUGAACGCUGGCGGUAGGCCUAACACAUGCAAGUCGAACGGCAGCACAGUAAGAGCUUGCUCUUACGGGUGGCGAGUGGCGGACGGGUGAGGAAUACAUCGGAAUCUACUUUUUCGUGGGGGAUAACGUAGGGAAACUUACGCUAAUACCGCAUACGACCUACGGGUGAAAGCAGGGGAUCUUCGGACCUUGCGCGAUUGAAUGAGCCGAUGUCGGAUUAGCUAGUUGGCGGGGUAAAGGCCCACCAAGGCGACGAUCCGUAGCUGGUCUGAGAGGAUGAUCAGCCACACUGGAACUGAGACACGGUCCAGACUCCUACGGGAGGCAGCAGUGGGGAAUAUUGGACAAUGGGCGCAAGCCUGAUCCAGCCAUACCGCGUGGGUGAAGAAGGCCUUCGGGUUGUAAAGCCCUUUUGUUGGGAAAGUAAAGCAGCAGGUUAAUACCCCGCUGUUCUGACAGUACCCAAAGAAUAAGCACCGGCUAACUUCGUG
This 492-nucleotide ribosomal RNA is filed under the name uncultured bacterium. RNAcentral's name for it is "partial 16S ribosomal RNA". It matches the Rfam family "Bacterial small subunit ribosomal RNA", at positions 29 to 507 of the family's 1533-position model. The record is from RNAcentral.